GUGCCAGCCGCCGCGGUAAGACGAACCGUGCGAACGUUGUUCGGAAUCACUGGGCUUAAAGGGCGCGUAGGCGGUCGAUCAAGUCCGGGGUGAAAUCCUGCAGCUUAACUGUAGAAGUGCCUUGGAUACUGAUCGGCUCGAGGGAGGUAGGGGUCUGUGGAACUUCUGGUGGAGCGGUGAAAUGCGUUGAUAUCAGAAGGAACGCCGGUGGCGAAAGCGGCAGACUGGACCUCUUCUAACGCUGAGGCGCGAAAGCUAGGGGAGCAAACGGGAUUAGAAACCCGAGUAGUCC
RNAcentral lists this ribosomal RNA (292 nucleotides) under uncultured bacterium. RNAcentral's name for it is "partial 16S ribosomal RNA". It matches the Rfam family "Bacterial small subunit ribosomal RNA", at positions 505 to 796 of the family's 1533-position model. The record is from RNAcentral.